ACGAACGCUGGCGGCAUGCCUAACACAUGCAAGUCGAACGAGACCUUCGGGUCUAGUGGCGCACGGGUGCGUAACGCGUGGGAACCUGCCCUUAGGUUCGGAAUAACUCCCCGAAAGGGGUGCUAAUACCGGUUAAUGUCUUCGGACCAAAGAUUUAUCGCCUUUGGAUGGGCCCGCGUUGGAUUAGCUAGUUGGUAGGGUAAAAGCCUACCAAGGCGACGAUCCAUAGCUGGUCUGAGAGGAUGAUCAGCCACACUGGGACUGAGACACGGCCCAGACUCCUACGGGAGGCAGCAGUGGGGAAUAUUGGACAAUGGGCGAAAGCCUGAUCCAGCAAUGCCGCGUGAGUGAUGAAGGCCUUAGGGUUGUAAAGCUCUUUUACCCGGGAUGAUAAUGACAGUACCGGGAGAAUAAGCUCCGGCUAACUCCGUG
RNAcentral lists this ribosomal RNA (432 nucleotides) under uncultured bacterium. Its description in RNAcentral is "partial 16S ribosomal RNA". It matches the Rfam family "Bacterial small subunit ribosomal RNA", at positions 29 to 507 of the family's 1533-position model. The record is from RNAcentral.